UCGUAGAAAGUUAACAAAUUCACCUUGUUUGGUUGCUAUUUUGACUCAAUUUUCUAGUAAGUAAAGGAAGCAACUUUCUUCAAUUCAACAGAAGUAACUUAUUUACUCUCACUCUCAUAAGUUACUCGAGGGAGGGUUUGAAUCAACCAAGGCCUAACUAGGAAACUUGCAUUAUCUCUCCUCUUGUUGAUGAAUAAUGCAGAAAUCAUUAAAGGAUGGAGACAAAUUUGAGGUCACGGUUUAGAUGAUUAGUGAGGUGUUAAAAAUACUUUUUACCCAUUUCCUGUGGGCCAGAAUCUGGUGAUAUUUGAAUCCAGCAGACUGAUCACUGAUAUGGC
This 338-nucleotide unclassified non-coding RNA is filed under the name Hevea brasiliensis (rubber tree). Lineage: Eukaryota; Viridiplantae; Streptophyta; Magnoliopsida; Malpighiales; Euphorbiaceae. The record is from RNAcentral.